This 98-nucleotide signal recognition particle RNA is filed under the name Neisseria sp. Its description in RNAcentral is "signal recognition particle sRNA small type". It matches the Rfam family "Bacterial small signal recognition particle RNA". From Rfam's summary of the family: The signal recognition particle (SRP) is a universally conserved ribonucleoprotein involved in the co-translational targeting of proteins to membranes. The record is from RNAcentral. Lineage: Bacteria; Pseudomonadati; Pseudomonadota; Betaproteobacteria; Neisseriales; Neisseriaceae.
UGCGGGUCUCCCCGCAUGGAGAUUGGCGAUAACGGGUCAGGUGCGGAAGCAAGCAGCCCACCGUUAGUUUUCCAGUGCCGGGGGUCGGGCCCGCACCC